ACGCGAGGAACCUUACCAGGUCUUGACGUCCUCUGACACUCCUAGAGAUAGGGCGUUCCCCUUCGGGGGACAGAGUGACAGGUGGUGCAUGGUUGUCGUCAGCUCGUGUCGUGAGAUGUUGGGUUAAGUCCCGCAACGAGCGCAACCCUUGAUCUUAGUUGCCAGCAUUAAGUUGGGCACUCUAAGGUGACUGCCGGUGACAAACCGGAGGAAGGUGGGGAUGACGUCAAAUCAUCAUGCCCCUUAUGACCUGGGCUACACACGUGCUACAAUGGAUGGUACAAAGGGCUGCAAGACCGCGAGGUCAAGCCAAUCCCAUAAAACCAUUCUCAGUUCGGAUUGUAGGCUGCAACUCGCCUGCAUGAAGCCGGAAUCGCUAGUAAUCGCGGAUCAGCAUGCCGCGGUGAAUACGUUCCCGGGCCUUGCACACACCGCCCGU
RNAcentral lists this ribosomal RNA (439 nucleotides) under uncultured bacterium. Its description in RNAcentral is "bacterial SSU rRNA". It matches the Rfam family "Bacterial small subunit ribosomal RNA", at positions 959 to 1397 of the family's 1533-position model. The record is from RNAcentral.